AUUGAACGCUGGCGGCAUGCUUUACACAUGCAAGUCGAACGGCAGCGCGGGCUUCGGCCUGGCGGCGAGUGGCGAACGGGUGAGUAAUGCAUCGGAACGUGCCCAGUAGUGGGGGAUGGCCCGUCGACAGCCGGAUUAAUACCGCAUACGACCUGCGGGUGAAAGCGGGGGACCGAAAGGCCUCGCGCUCUUGGAGCGGCCGAUGUCGGAUUUGAUAGUUGGUGGGGUAAAGGCUUACCAAGGCGACGAUCCGUAGCUGGUCUGAGAGGACGACCAGCCACACUGGGACUGAGACACGGCCCAGACUCCUACGGGAGGCAGCAGUGGGGAAUUUUGGACAAUGGGGGCAACCCUGAUCCAGCCAUGCCGCGUGCGAGAAGAAGGCCUUCGGGUUGUAAACCGCUUUUGUUCGGGAAGAAAUCCUCUGGGCUAAUACCACGGGGGGAUGACGGUACCGGAAGAAUAAGCACCGGCUAACUACGUG
RNAcentral lists this ribosomal RNA (484 nucleotides) under uncultured bacterium. Its description in RNAcentral is "partial 16S ribosomal RNA". It matches the Rfam family "Bacterial small subunit ribosomal RNA", at positions 28 to 507 of the family's 1533-position model. The record is from RNAcentral.